UAAGUGAAUAGUGAAGCUGGAGGCUCAACCUUACAGACUAUUAUUCAAACUGGCAAACUCGAGAGUAGUAGAGGUAACUGGAAUUUCUUGUGUAGGAGUGAAAUCCGUAGAUAUAAGAAGGAACACCAAUGGCGUAGGCAGGUUACUGGACCAUUUCUGACACUGAGGCACGAAAGCGUGGGGAGCGAACGGGAUUAGAUACCCCGGUAGUCCACGCCGUAAACGAUGGAUACUA
This 235-nucleotide ribosomal RNA is filed under the name uncultured Candidatus Saccharibacteria bacterium. RNAcentral's name for it is "partial 16S ribosomal RNA". It matches the Rfam family "Bacterial small subunit ribosomal RNA", at positions 584 to 818 of the family's 1533-position model. The record is from RNAcentral. Lineage: Bacteria; Candidatus Saccharimonadota.